Molecule: ribosomal RNA, 393 nt
Filed under: uncultured bacterium
Lineage: Bacteria
Description: partial 16S ribosomal RNA
Rfam family: Bacterial small subunit ribosomal RNA
Source: RNAcentral
AUACGGAGGAUGCGAGCGUUAUCCGGAUUUAUUGGGUUUAAAGGGAGCGUAGGUGGGAUAUUAAGUCAGCUGUGAAAGUUUGGGGCUCAACCUUAAAAUUGCAGUUGAUACUGGUUUCCUUGAGUACGGUACAGGUGGGCGGAAUUCGUGGUGUAGCGGUGAAAUGCUUAGAUAUCACGAAGAACUCCGAUCGCGAAGGCAGCUCACCGGGCCGGAACUGACACUGAUGCUCGAAAGUGCGGGUAUCAAACAGGAUUAGAUACCCUGGUAGUCCGCACAGUAAACGAUGAAUACUCGCUGUUUGCGAUACACUGUAAGCGGCCAAGCGAAAGCGUUAAGUAUUCCACCUUGGGAGUACGCCGGCAACGGUGAAACUCAAAUGAAUUGACGGGG